This 1306-nucleotide long non-coding RNA is filed under the name Pandoravirus neocaledonia. RNAcentral describes it as "hypothetical ncRNA". The record is from RNAcentral.
GUUAUCUGUCGCGGUCGCCUAGAGCGACGACACCAAAAAGGCACAAAGGCGGCGCCACGCUCGAUCGACGCACCCGCAACGUUUUUUACCUUCUUGCCGCCAUCGGGCGCAUUGGCCCCUUUUCUUGCCCGUUUCUUUGCUCUCAGAGAGAGUCUCUUUACUGCGCCCAACUAAAAAAAAGGGCUGGAGGCGCUUGUAGGGGCGGAAAAAACAAGGAAAGGCAAAUGGCGCCGUGGGUCGCGCCGUCCACUCCUUUCCGUUGAUCCUUUUUUUUCCUCCACAAAAAAACCCGACCGCCCCUUUUUGGCUGUGCCCGGCCGCCUCGGCAAGCGGGUUAUACGCCAGAGAGGGCGCACGUAUGCGCGCACACCUACGCGUACGCGCGUGCGCUAGACCGCAAACGCCGAAUCGGGUUCGAUGCGAACAUGCGCACGGCAGCCGUCGCCGUCGUCCUGGACGAAUGCGACGGUCCACGCCUCGCACCCGGGCGCCAGCAGUCCAUACAGAGUGAGGCGCUGGUCGUCGGUGCGCUCGCGGUCCAUGAAAAAGGUGAGCGACCGCGACCGCCGGCGCCCGUUGCGCAUGCAUUCCAGUGUCUCCUCGACCAGGUCGACCUUGUACACGAUGUCGCCUGUCUUGGCGCAACGCACAGAGAUGGGCUGGUCCAUGGUGGCCAAGCGCUCGAGCACAGACGACGGGCAACAUACGCCGCCCGCCUCUCUGCCGCUCAUGUCGCCGCGGCCGCCGCCGGUAUUGUCGUCGCCGUCGAUGCUGCCAUAGCAGGUACCAUUGUUGCCGUGCGCCAGACGGUCGUCGUCGCGGUUCCCAUCGCGACUAUCGAUCACGCUGCCGGGCGCGCUGUCGCAGCGCGGGCUGAUGCGGCUGCCAGUGUCGUGGCUCUGCUGGCUGAUGCGACUGCCGUCGUCGCUCUCGCACGGUUCAUAAUCCCGACGCCAGCACAGGGCCACGCCGAGGGCGCGACGCCAAAAGCGCCAGCGCCUGCGUGUCCGCCCGCCCAUUUUUCCUCGUCAAAGAGCCGGCCCCGAUCCUUUUGACACCGUGCCCUCGCCGCCGCCGGCUCCCCGCCCGUGUCUUGCGUGCUGGCGCCCUUGUGUGUGGCCUCUUUCUUUGCCGGCCGCAAGUCUUCUUUUCUUACGCCUUCUUCUUCCAGAGACUGCUCGAUCGGGCGACAGCGCUCUCGGGCCAGCAGGCACGGCCGACGACAGCACCAAAUCGCAACUGUUCCGGCCUGGCCCUGUCUUUUGUUCGGAUCGAGAAAGAAAUAAAAGGGAAAAAUAUGUAGCCC